Gordionus sp. m RMFG-2023 is the source of this 635-nucleotide long non-coding RNA. RefSeq lists it as uncharacterized. The transcript has 5 exons. Lineage: Eukaryota; Metazoa; Nematomorpha; Gordioida; Chordodea; Parachordodidae. The record is from RefSeq and is a predicted model, not a curated record.
UAUUUAGAUAAUGGGAGUGUGCUGUGUUCAAAAUUUUAAUAAAACAAAUAAAAUAGUAAACAAUUUCCAUAUAUUUUAUCACAAAUGUUAACAUUAUCAAACCUAUAGCCAAUCUAGUACCCAUACCCACCACUUCAUCUUAUUAUUUUAGAAACACAAACCCACAUAUCCCGAAAUUAUCUUUAUAUUUAGAUAAUGUAUCAACUUAUAUAUCGGGAUAUAUUGUACACCAACUUAUUAAAGAAAAAAAGCUACGUUGUGAUGUUUGCAUUACAGCAAUGGCACAAAUCUCUUUAUUGAUCUUUGUGAUCAUAUCAUUGAACAUGAAAUUGGGUACAGCCAUUUUCAAAUUCUUGUAAAAUUAAUUGUUCAAAAAUAUUUAAAUAUUAGAUUUUAUCAUUUUGCUGACUUAAGAAACCAGGAAUUGAGAACUGGUAUGUGGCAGAAUCUUACGAAAGCAAUACAAUUUAAUAAUCAAUAAGUGAUGAUAUAAUCAAAAAUGACGAAAAUGUACUCAAAAAUAAUAUGAAAGUGAAUUGUUGCAAUAUCUUUUCCUUUUCAAGGCCUAUACAUUUAUAUCAUUAUAUACUUAUUAAAUAUACUUUAAAUAAAUGAUUUAUAUAAUAUAAUUUAUA